GUGGCUGCUUUCAAGUUAGAGUUAGCAGUUAGAGUUAGAGUUAGCAGAGGGAGUUAGCAGAGUUAGAGUUAGAGAGUUAGCAGAGAGUUAGCAGAGUUAGAGUUAGCAGUUAGAGCAGUUAGAGUCAGUUAGCAGUUAGAGUUAGCAGUUUAAAGGGGACAGUAGCACAGUGGCUGCUUUCAAGUUAGAGUCAAAGAACGACCGUGAUGCGAUUGGGCAGCAGCAGCUCACUGGAGGAGCAGGUAGGACCUGCCUGCCUCCUUUUAAAGAGGGUUCCUGACUCCCCAGAAGUGGAUUUUGAGAGCCUAUGGAGGGGACUGCUGUGAAGAGAAGAGGAUGUGGAAAUUCCUCUGUGGAAACCUUCUCUGCAUCUGCCUAGGGUUAAGAUUGAACCUAAUUAUACUAAUAAAUUAAUAAAUUAUUAUUGA
This is a long non-coding RNA of Hemicordylus capensis (graceful crag lizard), 428 nucleotides long. RefSeq lists it as uncharacterized. The record is from RefSeq and is a predicted model, not a curated record. The transcript is spliced from 2 exons. Lineage: Eukaryota; Metazoa; Chordata; Lepidosauria; Squamata; Cordylidae.